UACAACUCAGCAAUUGCACUACUAGGUAUUUAUCCAAGGGAUACAGGUAUGCUGUUUCUGAGGGACAAAUGCACCCCAAUGUUUACAGCAGCACUAUCAACAAUAGCCAAA
This is a long non-coding RNA of Lynx canadensis (Canada lynx), 111 nucleotides long. RefSeq lists it as uncharacterized. NCBI's taxonomy places the organism in Eukaryota, Metazoa, Chordata, Mammalia, Carnivora, Felidae. The transcript has 2 exons. The record is from RefSeq and is a predicted model, not a curated record.